CCGUUACAGCGAACGAACUCUGCCUACAACUGUGCGUGCGUUCGUGGCGUACGCGUGUAGUACCGGUUGCCGAUCGGCCGGCGCUGCGCGUAGAAUCUUAGUCGCGAAGCUCUGGCAUAAUGGUAACGAUAGCUUUUUGCCGUUUGCGAAUAUCUCGACAACUAAGGCAGUCCGCUGUGUGUAGCUAUAGGAAAAGCUUAUUGAGAACGUCGACUUCCACGACAUAUUUAAAGAUCAUGGAAAUCGACCUUCUAACAUAGCGGCUAGGACGACGUUACGAAUCGUCGAUGAACAAUACCCGCGAUCCACGCAACAUACAUGCUUAAGUACUUGUAUUUAG
RNAcentral lists this unclassified non-coding RNA (340 nucleotides) under Bombus terrestris (buff-tailed bumblebee). Its description in RNAcentral is "misc RNA ENSBTSG00005020935.1". Lineage: Eukaryota; Metazoa; Arthropoda; Insecta; Hymenoptera; Apidae. The record is from RNAcentral.